GAUGAACGCUGGCGGCGUGCCUAAUACAUGCAAGUCGAGCGAACAGACGAGGAGCUUGCUCCUCUGACGUUAGCGGCGGACGGGUGAGUAACACGUGGAUAACCUACCUAUAAGACUGGGAUAACUUCGGGAAACCGGAGCUAAUACCGGAUAAUAUAUUGAACCGCAUGGUUCAAUAGUGAAAGACGGUUUUGCUGUCACUUAUAGAUGGAUCCGCGCCGCAUUAGCUAGUUGGUAAGGUAACAGCUUACCAAGGCAACGAUGCGUAGCCGACCUGAGAGGGUGAUCGGCCACACUGGAACUGAGACACGGUCCAGACUCCUACGGGAGGCAGCAGUAGGGAAUCUUCCGCAAUGGGCGAAAGCCGGACGGAGCAACGCCGCGUGAGUGAUGAAGGUCUUCGGAUCGUAAAACUCUGUUAUUAGGGAAGAACAAAUGUGUAAGUAACUAUGCACGUCUUGACGGUACCUAAUCAGAAAGCCACGGCUAACUACGUG
Molecule: ribosomal RNA, 497 nt
Filed under: uncultured bacterium
Lineage: Bacteria
Description: partial 16S ribosomal RNA
Rfam family: Bacterial small subunit ribosomal RNA
Source: RNAcentral